UUGGGAGCGUGGCGUUAGCUGUCGAAAUUAGGUUUUUUCGUAAAGAAAAAUGCUAACAAGCGGUUGUGCGUGUAGAUGAACGAAUAAUGAUGAUAAAGAAGAAUUCAAAGAGCAGGAAAUAUCCCUCAAAAUCCUUUCACAUUCAACUACAGAGCUAAAAAAAUAAAUCGGUUGUCAAUGUCAAAUCACGAUAUUCAAGGUUGUCACGACGGCCAUGUAUGACCACAAGGAUUUUAUCGGACUAAAAAAGAGUACUGAAAACUGAUGCUGUGUCAACUUUUUCUUUCUUUUUGUGCAAGCCAUCUUGUAAGAAGGAGGAAUACAAAUUUUAUGCCUCGAGCUGCUGAAGCAUAGCAAAGGACAAAGUGUGCUAACUCAAUGAAGGCUUGCAUUCAUGAAUAUUUUUGAGAACCAGUCAAUUCGAGUAAAUGUUUUUCUUUUGGACAUUAAAGUAUCACACUAGAGUUUCCUGCUGCAUUUUCAGAUGGAUGAACAUUUAUAAAUGAAGAAAUGUUCCAAUUCUUACACCUUCAUUGGAUACAUACCUGGUAUAAAAUUUUCCCAUUAGUUAGAACUAUCUAACAACUCUUGUAAAUGAUUAUUACACCAUCAAUUCUUAAUGACAUUUUAAAAAUAGUAGCAAAUAGCUUUUCUUUUCUGUGAUGGAAAUAUAC
Long non-coding RNA from Uloborus diversus, 674 nucleotides. RefSeq lists it as uncharacterized. The record is from RefSeq and is a predicted model, not a curated record. The transcript is spliced from 3 exons. Lineage: Eukaryota; Metazoa; Arthropoda; Arachnida; Araneae; Uloboridae.